This 439-nucleotide ribosomal RNA is filed under the name uncultured bacterium. Its description in RNAcentral is "bacterial SSU rRNA". It matches the Rfam family "Bacterial small subunit ribosomal RNA", at positions 339 to 796 of the family's 1533-position model. The record is from RNAcentral.
CUACGGGAGGCAGCAGUGGGGAAUAUUGCACAAUGGGCGAAAGCCUGAUGCAGCAACGCCGCGUGAGCGAUGAAGGCCUUCGGGUCGUAAAGCUCUGUCCUAUGGGAAGAUAAUGACGGUACCAUAGGAGGAAGCCCCGGCUAACUACGUGCCAGCAGCCGCGGUAAUACGUAGGGGGCAAGCGUUAUCCGGAAUUACUGGGCGUAAAGGGUGCGUAGGCGGUUUAUCAAGUCAGGGGUGAAAGGCUACGGCUCAACCGUAGUGAGCCUCUGAAACUGGUGAACUUGAGUGUAGGAGAGGAAAGUGGAAUUCCCAGUGUAGCGGUGAAAUGCGUAGAUAUUGGGAGGAACACCAGUGGCGAAGGCGACUUUCUGGACUACAACUGACGCUGAGGCACGAAAGCGUGGGGAGCAAACAGGAUUAGAUACCCCUGUAGUCC